CGCUUCGGCGGGUCGAUCCGGGC
This 23-nucleotide non-coding RNA is filed under the name Arabidopsis thaliana (thale cress). The record is from RNAcentral. Lineage: Eukaryota; Viridiplantae; Streptophyta; Magnoliopsida; Brassicales; Brassicaceae.